AAGGAGGAGAAAGAGGAGGAGUAAAGCAGGCCCUCUCGACGUCGGCCUGUGGGGAGCGAUGCCGACAAGCAGGAGCGGUCCCGGCUUCGGAAAGGGCCCACCCUGAGGAAUGGUCCGGCCGGGCCUAGCGAGGAUGUCCCUACCGCGAUGCUGGUUCCGUUACCCAGGGUGGACAGGCGCGGAAGCGGGACGGGGAAGAGCGAUAGUUUCGCGGCGUUUGCCCAGCCUCAACCCCUGGGAUGCGGGUGAGAGACAUGGAGGACUGGUCAGAAUUUGCGCGUCCCUGGGGCCGCACAAAAGGCUCCCAGCCGGCCUCCCGCAAUGUCCUCACCUGUACCUGGCAGCCGACCCCCUGGAUCCGCAGCGCCGCCAGGAGAAGUCCUGCGCAGCGCUGGGAAACGACAAAAGAAGGCAGCCUGACGGGCAGCGACAGCCACAGCAACAGCAACAGCCCCACUGCCGCCGGGGAUUCCAGGUUGCCGAGGAGCCCAAGUAGAAGAAAUAUGGAGUUUAGAGCCUGAGAAUUUUGAAAAAUUAAAGCCAGUUCAUGGGUUAAUUUUUCUUUUCAAGUGGCAGCCAGGAGAAGAACCAGCAGGCUCUGUGGUUCAGGACUCCCGACUUGACACGAUAUUUUUUGCUAAGCAGGUAAUUAAUAAUGCUUGUGCUACUCAAGCCAUAGUGAGUGUGUUACUGAACUGUACCCACCAGGAUGUCCAUUUAGGCGAGACAUUAUCAGAGUUUAAAGAAUUUUCACAAAGUUUUGAUGCAGCUAUGAAAGGCUUGGCACUGAGCAAUUCAGAUGUGAUUCGACAAGUACACAACAGUUUCGCCAGACAGCAAAUGUUUGAAUUUGAUACGAAGACAUCAGCAAAAGAAGAAGAUGCUUUUCACUUUGUCAGUUAUGUUCCUGUUAAUGGGAGACUGUAUGAAUUAGAUGGAUUAAGAGAAGGACCGAUUGAUUUAGGUGCAUGCAAUCAAGAUGAUUGGAUCAGUGCAGUAAGGCCUGUCAUAGAAAAAAGGAUACAAAAGUACAGUGAAGGUGAAAUUCGAUUUAAUUUAAUGGCCAUUGUGUCUGACAGAAAAAUGAUAUAUGAGCAGAAGAUAGCAGAGUUACAAAGACAACUUGCAGAGGAACCCAUGGAUACAGAUCAAGGUAAUAGUAUGUUAAGUGCUAUUCAGUCAGAAGUUGCCAAAAAUCAGAUGCUUAUUGAAGAAGAAGUACAGAAAUUAAAAAGAUACAAGAUUGAGAAUAUCAGAAGGAAGCAUAAUUAUCUGCCUUUCAUUAUGGAAUUGUUAAAGACUUUAGCAGAACACCAGCAGUUAAUACCACUAGUAGAAAAGAUAUUCUGAUAUAGGGGAAGGAUUCUUUAAUAAGUUCCCCAAGUGAUUCUAAUGCAACUGGUCUGUGUACCACAGUUUGAGAAACACUUUGAGAAGACACUACUAGGCAAAUAAAAUUUUGGACCAUUAACUUAAAGACGAGAAUACAUGGUAGGUAUAUUUUCCUUAUUAAUUUUAAAGUUUACAAAGCAAAGAUUGAUUUCAACCAAGCUGUUUCAUGUUAUACAUUCUAAAUAAUAUGAGAUGUGAGCUAAUAAGUUUUUUGUGUAUAUUACCUUAUUGAUUGAAACAUGUGACCCAACUUUUAGCAUUAAAUGUAAAAAUUAUUGCAGAAGACUGCUAAAUCUUCUCUUUUCCAUUAUAGGUUUUUCUGUUCAUGCAUCUCAGGGUGUAUUCUAAGAUGGGAAACUGUUUUUAAAGUUUUAGAUUAAUACAGGGUCCUGUGGUUCUCAAAAUUGCUUGGUUAACAAGAAUACCUAGAUAUGAUGUUAUUAAUCAUAUCAAAUGUUUUUCUGUUAAAAAUAUUAAAAUAACUAUAAAAUGUGCUAAAUAUGUGAUACAUCAGAUUUU
RNAcentral lists this long non-coding RNA (1911 nucleotides) under Homo sapiens (human). Its description in RNAcentral is "long non-coding RNA NONHSAT152691.1". The record is from RNAcentral. Lineage: Eukaryota; Metazoa; Chordata; Mammalia; Primates; Hominidae.